Panicum virgatum (switchgrass) is the source of this 1050-nucleotide long non-coding RNA. RefSeq lists it as uncharacterized. Lineage: Eukaryota; Viridiplantae; Streptophyta; Magnoliopsida; Poales; Poaceae. The record is from RefSeq and is a predicted model, not a curated record. The transcript has 5 exons.
CCCUGGUGCCUCCCUACGCCGCUCCCUGCUGGACGAUCGCUGCCCCCACCCUGCUAGACGCCAUCGCCCCCUCCAGGAACAGACAAGGUACGAUGCCGGAGACAUCACUGCCGUGAGCUCUGCACAGGAUCCCACUGUCCGGCUGCUGGAUGGCCAAGGCCGUCUUGGGAGCAGUGUAUCUCAUAGAUUGUUGUACCAAGGAUAUUGCAUGCUCAAACAUGAGAAUUUGAAAGUCUCAUAUUUGUUAGUGAGCUUGCAUCCUGAUGGCUUCCAUUGAACACUAGAUCAGCGGUUGAUGGAAUGGGGUGUGCACAUAGCCAUUCAGGACAAGAUAGGAUCAGAGCUGAUAUGGGACCUCAAGAGAUUUGGAGCAAACUUAAAAGGUUAAAGCUUCAGGUUACUAUCGUGCUCAAGAUGUUUAGGCAAAAAUUGAUGUACCGGCACUACUAAUUCCUGUGCUUGAAGAAACAUUUUCCGGUAUAUCAUCUUGUAAAAACCAAUUUAGGGUUCAUUGCAAUAUGGAAAGCGUUUUUAUUCCUUUAUCUGAAUCAUUCAAUCAUCAAGCAAUGAGAGAAACUGAGUUGUGAUGGUAGAUUGUGAAAUCCUGUUACUCCAUAUAUGCUGCUCAACGUAAAAGGAAUAAAAACAAACAUAGCGUCUCAUGUAUAGCUAAUGUUGCUGUAGAUUUCAGGUUCUAGAGGGCUCCUGGGCUUGCCACUAUGUACUGCAGAUGCAUACUAUGCAUGGCAAAUGAUGAUCAAGCCCUGUCCACAUGCCAACAAGUUCCCCUUUUUACUGCUCUAAUCUGAUUGAGUUAAUAUUACUUGCCAUGGUCAGAGUUAAUGUUAAUUGCCGUGGUUUGGUCAAGGUAUCAAUUGUUAUGUAAUUCAAACUAGACAACUAUGUCAUCACUUCUGAACGUAGAAAUGCCAAUGAUCAAGGCCAUGUCAAUGGUUCAGUGUAUUGGUUGCUUCUUCUUGAAUAUUUGUCCAAUUAUAAACAUUUUAGUUGAGUUUCAGAAGUUCAAAAACAUAAAAUUGCAUUGACGCU